RNAcentral lists this ribosomal RNA (253 nucleotides) under uncultured bacterium. Its description in RNAcentral is "partial 16S ribosomal RNA". It matches the Rfam family "Bacterial small subunit ribosomal RNA", at positions 524 to 776 of the family's 1533-position model. The record is from RNAcentral.
UACGUAGGGUGCAAACGUUGUCCGGAAUUAUUGGGCGUAAAGAGCUCGUAGGCGGUCUGUCGCGUCGGCUGUGAAAACUCGGGGCUCAACUCCGAGCUUGCAGUCGAUACGGGCAGGCUAGAGUUCGGCAGGGGAGACUGGAAUUCCUGGUGUAGCGGUGAAAUGCGCAGAUAUCAGGAGGAACACCGGUGGCGAAGGCGGGUCUCUGGGCCGAUACUGACGCUGAGGAGCGAAAGCGUGGGGAGCGAACAGG